GACGAACGCUGGCGGCGUGCUUAACACAUGCAAGUCGAACGGAAAGGCCCUGCUUUUGUGGGGUGCCCGAGUGGCGAACGGGUGAGUAACACGUGAGUAACCUGCCCUUGACUUUGGGAUAACUUCAGGAAACUGGGGCUAAUACCGGAUAGGAGCUCCUGCUGCAUGGUGGGGGUUGGAAAGUUUCGGCGGUUGGGGAUGGACUCGCGGUUUAUCAGCUUGUUGGUGGGGUAGUGGCUUACCAAGGCUUUGACGGGUAGCCGGCCUGAUAGGGUGACCGGCCACAUUGGGACUGAGAUACGGCCCAGACUCCUACGGGAGGCAGCAGUGGGGAAUAUUGCACAAUGGGCGGAAGCCUGAUGCAGCAACGCCGCGUGCGGGAUGACGGCCUUCGGGUUGUAAACCGCUUUCGCCUGUGACGAAGCGUGAGUGACGGUAAUGGGUAAAGAAGCACCGGCUAACUACGUG
This 468-nucleotide ribosomal RNA is filed under the name uncultured bacterium. RNAcentral describes it as "partial 16S ribosomal RNA". It matches the Rfam family "Bacterial small subunit ribosomal RNA", at positions 28 to 507 of the family's 1533-position model. The record is from RNAcentral.